RNAcentral lists this transfer RNA (87 nucleotides) under Staphylococcus aureus subsp. aureus Mu3. RNAcentral describes it as "tRNA-Leu". It matches the Rfam family "tRNA". From Rfam's summary of the family: Transfer RNA (tRNA) molecules are approximately 80 nucleotides in length. Their secondary structure includes four short double-helical elements and three loops (D, anti-codon, and T loops). Lineage: Bacteria; Bacillati; Bacillota; Bacilli; Caryophanales; Staphylococcaceae. RNAcentral also lists the same sequence under 1 other name. The record is from RNAcentral.
UGCGGGUGUGGCGGAAUUGGCAGACGCACUAGACUUAGGAUCUAGCGCCUUACGGCGUGGGGGUUCGACUCCCUUCACCCGCAUAUG